Molecule: RNA transcript, 1704 nt
Organism: Cucumis sativus (cucumber)
Lineage: Eukaryota; Viridiplantae; Streptophyta; Magnoliopsida; Cucurbitales; Cucurbitaceae
Gene name: E3 ubiquitin-protein ligase RZF1
Exons: 3
Source: RefSeq, a predicted model, not a curated record
UCACUCAUCCUUUUCUUCAUCUCUACGAAACAAUAUGAAACUAACCAAAUCCAUCAGGAUAUAGAUAGAUGUCAUAUGAGGAUGGCAAUGUCAGAAUUGCUUCUGCAUAUCCAUAAAGCCAUUCCUUUCUCCACUCCCUCUCCCAUCCUUUUUCCCCAUUAUAUAAAUUCUUCCCACAUUCUGAUUCCCUUUCCCAAAUCAUUUCUCUAACUAACAAAACUAAUCACCAACUUCCACCAUUUCCAAACAUUUGUUCGUCUUUCCCAUGUCUUUGACCCCACCCCAAUCUACAACCAACAACCGCCAUACCACAACCUUCCAGCUCUACUGGUGCCACCAAUGCCACCGCACCGUUACCCUCGCCUCAGCACACCCUUCGGAGCUCACCUGCCCACGCUGUUUUGGGCAGUUCAUUGAAGAGGUGCAACUCACACUCCCUGAAUUUAAUCCCUCGCCAGAGGGUCGUUUAUUUGAAGCCCUCUCACUAAUGCUCAACCAGCCGAUUCGUAUCUUCAAUAACAGAACCCCAAAUGGGAACCGCCACCAUCCACCAUGGCACAGGUUCGAGGAAUUUGAUCGGAGAUCGUUUAGUGAUCCUGAAGGAGAUGAAUUGCCUCAAUGGCGAAGACGAUGGCGUAGUCGAAGUCUGGACGAGAGGGACAACUUUGGCCAACAACCUCCAAAUCCAAAUCGGUCUCGUACUGUUAUCGUUUUUGGUCCCCCUGACCAACUUCAGCCAAUCCAGCCGAUAUUACCACGGAGGAUCAGUCCAAGAGACUACUUCACUGGACCACAACUAGAUGAGUUAAUUGAAGAGCUGACGCAGAACGACCGACCAGGACCGGCACCGGCAAGCGAGGAGGCAAUCGAGAGAAUUCCAACGGUGAAAAUAGAAGCAGAGCAUCUGAAGAACGAGUCGCACUGCCCAGUUUGUAAGGAGGAGUUUGAAGUGGGGGGAGAAGCAAGGGAGUUAAGUUGUAAGCAUAUAUACCAUUCGGAGUGCAUAGUACCAUGGCUUCGGCUUCAUAACAGUUGCCCGGUUUGUAGGCAAGAGAUGCCGUCAUUUACACCGGAGAAUGAAGCGUCGAGUAGUUCUGAAGAGGAAGGGAUGGGGAGAAGAUGUGCCAGAUGGUGGAGUCACCUGGUGCCUUGGCCAUUUCGGAAUAGGUAUAGGCAGAUUAGUCCAUUUCCACGGAACCGCUUCGAUGCUUCUUCUCGAGAAAUUAAUUCAAGGGGUGGUUCAUCCUACCUCUCUUCCUCAGCCCUUCUAAUGUCGAUGUUUAUGCUGCAAUUAACUUGGAUUAUACUUGAAACUUUUCGCUAGGAAUGUAAAAUACAUGUGGGCGUGUACGAAGACACUGUUAAGGAAAAACGUAUUCAUUAGAUUCAUUACCAUGGUACACAUUUGGAUUGAGAUUGUCCUAAGAGAUCAGUCUCCAACGUAUAUCAUUUCGAUUGUGUUAGUUUGAAGCAUCUUUCAUGUUCUAAACUAAAACAUCUUUCUGAAACCCAUGCCCAUUACACUGGCAGGAUGCUCUCAUUUCUACCCAAUUUAUAAUAUCUAAAUAAUCUACAAUAAGCACAAAAAAACAUGCAAGUGCAACACAAACAAUGAAUACCAAAAUUACCAAAGAAUUCCUAUGUAAAUGAUACAAGGUAAGCGUUAUUUUCACUACCAUAAAUGCAUUUGUAUUUUUCUUUUAA